This is a long non-coding RNA of Orcinus orca (killer whale), 837 nucleotides long. RefSeq lists it as uncharacterized. The transcript is spliced from 2 exons. The record is from RefSeq and is a predicted model, not a curated record. Lineage: Eukaryota; Metazoa; Chordata; Mammalia; Artiodactyla; Delphinidae.
AUUGUUCAUUUCAUCUUUAGUUCUUCUAGGUCCUUCUUAAAUUUUUGUUGCAUUUAGUCCAUUGUAUUUCUAAGAUUUUGGAUCAUCUUUACUAUCAUUAUUCUGAAUUCAUUUUCAGGUAGACUGCCUAUUUCCUCUUCAUUUGUUAGGUCUGGUGGGUUUUUAUCUUGCUCCUUCAACUGCUGUGUGUUUUUCUGUCUUCUCAUUUUGCUUAUCUUACUGUGUUUGGGGUCUCCUUUUUGCAGGCUGCAGGUUCUUAGUUCCUGUUGUUUUUGGUGUCUGCCCCCAGUGGUUAAGGUUUUUUCAUUGGGUUGUGUAGGCUUCCUGGUGGAGGGGACUAGUGCCUGUGUUCUGGUGGAUGAGGCUGGAUCUUGUCUUUCUGGUGGGCAGUUCCACGUCUGGUGGUGUGUUUUGGGGUGUCUGUGGGCUUAUUAUGAUUUUAGGAAGCCUCUCUGCCAAUGGGUGGGGUUGUGUUCCUUUCUUGCUAGUUGUUUGGCAUAGGGUGUCUAGCACUGUAGCUUGCUGGUUGUUGAGUGAAGCUGGGUGCUGGUGUUCAGAUGGAGAUCUCUGGGAGAUUUUCGCCAUUUGAUAUUAUGUGGAGCUGGGAGGUCUCUUGUGGACCUGUGUCCUGAAGUUGGCUCUGCCACCUCAGAGGCACAGCAGUGACUCCUGGCUGCAGCACCAAGAGCCUUUCAUCCACAUGGCUCAGAAUAAAAGGGAGAAAAAGUAGAAAUAAAUAAAUAAAGAGGAUAAAAUAAAAUAAAGUUAUUAAAAUAGAAAAUAAUUAUUUAGAAAAAAAAAAUUUUUAAGUAAAAACAAACAAAGAAACAAAAGAAA